Molecule: small RNA, 450 nt
Filed under: Drosophila yakuba
Lineage: Eukaryota; Metazoa; Arthropoda; Insecta; Diptera; Drosophilidae
Description: GE28750
Source: RNAcentral
GGCGACGUUCGACGCAGAAAAGCGAGCACGCGCAGGCCAGACGGUCGGUCGGUCGUAUCAGCUGCUGACUGUGGCUCCCGGAGGCCGACCACGGACCAAUCCCCCGUAUUAGCCGUACGCCCCGGCCCGUAGACCCGGUAUUGCGAACCGAAGCGAGUCCGAGGCCCUUCCAGCAGCCGGUCUUUCGUGCUCUGGAGUAGUAAAACAUAUUUAACCACAUCGGAGCUAAAGUGAACUGGUCAUAUCGGGAAACACUGUGCAAAACUUACAUUCGACGGACGGAACGGACUGACUCUGGAAAUCACAUCACAAUAAGUCAUGCCACGGGGAAAACGCCGAGCUGCAGAUACUAUUAGCGACAACAUGGAUCAUGGUCAACCGAAGAGGGCCCGAACCAGCUACACCAGCAUACCCACACAACAGAGCAGCAGGUGAGUGGAGGAAAAUAGG